RNAcentral lists this transfer RNA (70 nucleotides) under Cricetulus griseus (Chinese hamster). It matches the Rfam family "tRNA". From Rfam's summary of the family: Transfer RNA (tRNA) molecules are approximately 80 nucleotides in length. Their secondary structure includes four short double-helical elements and three loops (D, anti-codon, and T loops). The record is from Rfam by way of RNAcentral. Lineage: Eukaryota; Metazoa; Chordata; Mammalia; Rodentia; Cricetidae.
GGCUAUAAUUCAGUGGCAGAAUGCUUGCUCAGCAUGCAUGAGGUUGUAGGUUCAAUUCCCACUACUGCUG